GUUUUUUCAGUCCUCUCUUCCCCCAGGACGUUGCUCAGACUGUGUCCAAGGGCUCCCUGUGCCCGCAGUGAGAUGACAGCUUUCCUGCUGCCGGUAACACUGAGGAAGGCUGAUUGAGCACAGCUUAGGGGACAAGGUCCCUGCAAAUCAGGGACACGGAGUAACUCCUGGUCCUCAGCACAGCCCCUAGAAGAGGGCGCCUCGCAGACCCAUUUCACACAUGAAGGAAGCAAGGUCAAAGCUCUGGCCCGGCCGCUCAUCAGCUUCCAGGGCUCUGCCCUCGGAGUCCACGCUCUGAAGCGGGGUCGCGUCAGGCAUCGCAUCCCCAGCAGCUCACCGAUCGCAGUUCCCAAACGGCCGUAUGCCGCACACGUCCCAGCUUCUUCCGGUGGCGAUGGCCACAGAGAUGCGAGUGCUGUCACUGCUGAACGCAGCAGAAGGGCUAAGUGCCCACUCAGCCCAGGGCAGAGGAGCACAAGGUUCCUCCAACCUCGAACAGGCUUCCUAGCGUUCCCAGACCCCGUGCCCUCCUUAGAGAGGGAAGGAUGCCACCUCCCUCAGGAGCCACUGCCAGGUCUGUGCCUGUACUUUGCACAUAUUGUCACCUCCGGUCCUACAACAACCCUCGGCGAUGGGCAGGCUCGCUAUCCCCACUUACAAGUGAGGAGACUGAAGAUCAGAAAGGAUAAGUGAGCGGGCCGUGAUCACUCAGCUACUGAGUGGCGGGGCCAGGAUCUGAACAGAGGGCUGGUGGCUCCAGGAUCUGCAGUCCUGCUGAAUUCUGGCGUUCCUCCCUCCUCUGACCCUCCAAGGCUGCCUGCACCUGUGGCAGAGAACACUGAGCUGCCUUUGCAUAAAUGUGCUCUCACACCAUGCUCUGCUUUUCCACAGGGCUGUUCAUUGCUUGACUUGGCACAAUUCACAGUCACGUGCCACACAGUGACAGACCACAUAUAGGGAGGUGGUCCCAUAGAUUAUAGUGGAACUAAAACAUUUCUAUUGCCAGGCCCCCCGGGGCUUUCUGAGUACAAGAAGGCUGCCUUUUUUUUUUUUUUUUUUUUAAAUCAGAGCCAUUGUAACAUUCUAGCACAAUGACUGUAUUUUUUAAAUUAAUUUAACCUAAGUACACAGUGGUUGGGUUAAAAUCUACAGUAGUGUACAGUCAUCCCCAAGGCCCUCCCAUUCACCAGCCCCUCACUCACUCACUCACCCAGGGCAAUGUCCAGUCCUGCAAGCUCCACUCAUGGUCAACAAGAUCUACCCUCUCAAAGGGCUCUUGAGUGAGCCCCAAAUUGGGUAUGACAGCAGCAUCCUCUCAGAGGCUCAGACUUCCUCAGCGCAGAUGAAUCAGACCAGAGACCAAUAUCGACUCUACUCUCAGUACCGUGGCCAUGCACGAUUUUCAGGCCACAUCAAGACUUGCACAGCCUCUGGCUUUCAGUGGGAACAGAACCAGCAGUCUUCCUGGACUUCUCCCUCCUACACAGCAACCAGGAGCAAACUGAUCCUCCGCGUAUCACAGGCUUUGUCGAGUUGUAAAACAGAACUCUAACUGGUAUCCGCCACUGAUAUCAUGCAACACCAGAUGGUGUCAUUUGAUCAAAGAAUUUUGCUAACAGAAAUCUCAGAUUUCUCUCUAAGCGAAAUGCCUUGACUUUGUGACUGAUUGUGCAAGAAUCUCAGGAAUUGAGAAAACAGCGUCUGUGUUGCUACAAGACUGCAGCUUUGGAUAAUACCCCCCUGCUUUUACUUUCUUCUCUGUCUUUAACUUCAAAAUGUAUUUUACACCCCAAAUAAUUGUUUACUAUUUGUUUCCUAGAACCUCAAAAGUCAUUAAUUUUUAAGAAAAGUCACUGUGCUUUGUUGGAAAACAACCUCAAACUUGAAUGGCUUCACGCCAGUAGUUGAAAAUAUUUUACAAUAGGCCACUUUCUGGAAAGUCUAAUAAAAAUCAUACUGAGCAUUUUUAUUCCUGUUUACACUUGUAGAGCAUUAUCACAAUUUAAAUUAUCUUCAGCCCAUAUAUAGCUUCAUAUUUUGCAGCCAGCAAUGAAGUUCUGCCCACAGUUUACGUUUACGACUUUCUUCUGAACUGCCGUAUUUAUGUUACUGUUUUCAUCACUACUCUUUUUUUGUACAUUUUACCACUUAAACAGUAAAUCUAUGUGUUUUGACAAAUGUGUACAGUUGACUAACCACCACCAAUGGUCAAGAUAUGGAGUAUUUCUAUUGCCAUAGAAAUAUUCCUCCAUAGAAAUAUUUCAAUUCCUCUCAAGCCCAUUUCUGCUCAAUCCCCUCUCCCCAUCCCCAGGGCUAGCAACUGCUGAUCUGUUUUGUCCUUAUGGUUUUGCCUUUUCCUGAAUAUCAUAUAAAUGGAAUCAGAUUUGUAGCCUUUCAAUUCUGGCUUCUUGCACUUAGCAUAAUGCCUUUGAGAUUCUUCUGCUUGUAUCAAGAAUUCAUUCCUUUGAUUGUUACCCAGUAUUCAGUCAUAUGGAUGUAUCACAAUUUAUUUACCAGUUGAGGGACACUUUGAUUCCAGUUUGGGGCAAUUAUGAAUAUAACUUUGAUGAAUAGC
Molecule: long non-coding RNA, 2575 nt
Filed under: Homo sapiens (human)
Lineage: Eukaryota; Metazoa; Chordata; Mammalia; Primates; Hominidae
Description: HSALNT0049319
Source: RNAcentral